RNAcentral lists this transfer RNA (85 nucleotides) under Felis catus (domestic cat). It matches the Rfam family "tRNA". From Rfam's summary of the family: Transfer RNA (tRNA) molecules are approximately 80 nucleotides in length. Their secondary structure includes four short double-helical elements and three loops (D, anti-codon, and T loops). Lineage: Eukaryota; Metazoa; Chordata; Mammalia; Carnivora; Felidae. The record is from Rfam by way of RNAcentral.
GCCUGGGUGGCUCAGUCGGUUGAGCGUCCGGCUUUGGCUCAGACCGUGAUCUCACGGUUCGUGGGUUCGAGCCCCGCGUCAGGCU